This 422-nucleotide unclassified non-coding RNA is filed under the name Hevea brasiliensis (rubber tree). The record is from RNAcentral. Lineage: Eukaryota; Viridiplantae; Streptophyta; Magnoliopsida; Malpighiales; Euphorbiaceae.
UUGCAAUUCUGGCAUUGCAACAGCUCAUCUCGAGAGAAGUUGAUCCCCUCCAUAGUGAAGUGCUGUCUGUUACUUAUGUCAAAGGCGGAACUGCCCUGAAUGUAAUUCCACCAUAUGUUGAAUUUGGGGGUACUUUGAGGAGUCUAACAACUGAGGGCUUGCAUCAACUCCAGCGGAGAAUGAAACAGGUUAUUGAAGGCCAGGCAGCUGUGCACAGAUGUAAUGCAUACAUUAACAUGGAAAAUGAAGGCUACCCAGCAUAUCCUGCUGUUGUAAAUGAUGAAAGCUUGAAUUUGCAUGUUCAGAGGAUUGGUAGUCUUCUUCUUGGUCCUAGGAAUGUGAAAAUGGGUCAGAAGGUGAUGGCUGGCGAGGACUUUGCGUUCUAUCAAGAAAAGAUUCCUGGAAUCAUGCUCAGCAUUGGA